RNAcentral lists this small RNA (2512 nucleotides) under Rattus norvegicus (Norway rat). RNAcentral describes it as "uncharacterized LOC102549532". Lineage: Eukaryota; Metazoa; Chordata; Mammalia; Rodentia; Muridae. The record is from RNAcentral.
UCCUCAGUCUUUGCCCACUCUUAUACCAGGGAGUGUCACUGUUUGUCACAUCCAGGACUGUUGGCUUGUUUUUCAGAUAAGGCCUUGCUAUGUAGCCUAUGUUGGCCUUGAACUCCGGCACUUCCUCUGCCUCAGCCACAAGUGAUGUUGAUGGAAGGCACUGUGAGAAACCACUGGCUAGGAGAACGCAUUCCUCCUACGGGGGACCCUGGCCCGUUUUCCAGCUCAGCUCAGCUCCUUCCGGCAUGGGUUUUCUGCCUAGGCAAAUUUGUUUUUCUUUACAUUUAUUUAGCCCAUGUGUUGAGGGUAGGGUGGCAGUGCGUGCCUUGGCACAUGCGUGUGUAGGUCAAAAGACAGAACAGGAGUCUGUUCUCUCCUUCUACCGUGUGGGUUCUGGGGAUCAAACUCAAGCCCUCAAGUUUGGUCACAAGCUUCUUUAUUCACUGAGCCAUGUCCAUAUGCCCUGUUCUGGGCUUUUUGUACAGCCUGGGCUAAAUACAGCAGUCAGACUCUCAGCUUCCAGAAAUAACUGCUGGGAUCUGCCCUCUUGGUACCUUGAACGUGCUGGCCCAGGUUAACUCAAAGCCCAGUCUCCGGGAACCAUUGGUCAGCCCGAGGAGCAGCAUGUCACCGGAGUGUGUAAGUCCACCGUGACGAGGGGUGGAUGAGAGAGAUGCGUCUGCUUGGCUUGACAAGCUGGCCUGAUGUAAGCAUGGGUAGUCAUGACAGCAAAGGCCAUCUGGCACAAAGAACUGGACGGUUAACACCCAGAUAAAAGGCAAGUCAAGAUAAGGAGCGUAAAGAGAGAACGGUGCCAUCACUUGUGUCCCUGGAUCCAGCCAUUCCUGAAACCAGACAGCUCUGAGAUGUAAACUAAGAGGGCUGCUCUCUCUUUCUCCUUCUCUCUUCCCCGCACCUCCUCUGUUCAGGCUCUGGUUUGAAUCAGUUUCUGUCACUGGCAGCAGAGAACAUUGUGACUAAAGCAUGUCUUCCUCCUUAGUUCUCUAUCUGUCCCCCAUGUGGUUAUCUUCCUGCCCAUCCACUUUUGACCCCAACGGUUCCUACUUCUCUUUCCUCAUGUCCACUUGGAGAACAGUGGCACCCUCUAGGGACACAGUGGGCAGAGUUUCCACAUGUCCUUAUUCCCAUAGUUCCUGCUUUGGACCUGGAUCUGCACCUUGGGUGAUAGGUGAAUUUAAGAGAACAGACAUACUUUGCUAGCUGGUGUGAGCUGGUCUGGUCAGAGGGACAGCCAGGAGCUCCUUUGCUGUCCAGGCCCCCGGAGCAGCGUCAGCAUCCUCUUCCGCCCACACUCUCAGGCAGUAGAGCCGGGGCUGUGCAGGCAGGUGAAGGAAUACUUGAUUCCCAGAGGCUUCCAGAGGGGAGGAGGGGAAAGGUGAGUAAUCUGGGACAAUCGACCUGGUGUCUUGGUAAUCUGGUGUGCCUCUUUUCCUUCACAGCUGUGUUCUCCCUAGAGGGGUUUCACCCCCGCCUCAGGAAGAGGAAGCCGCCUCCAAGUGUCAUAGAGGGUCAAACAGUCCCAUGGGAGCCGCUCUUGUGGAGGAGGAAACCAAAGUACACAUCGAGGCCCCGGGUGACACAAUCAAUGAGGACUGAGAAUCAAGCGAUGACAAACUAGCUCCAGAGCCCAAAGAUCACAUGGCCACAGCACAGAGCCUCUCAGCAUUGUGGAGUGACAGAUGCAUGCUGAGGCCACCUUAAGGAGUUCGUGGGUGCCAGAGAGGCUGGGGGUGGAGCAGGGCCUCCAAAGCCAAUAGACCUGGACCACAGGUGGCUCUGGCCAACUGCUCUGGGUCUGUCAGCGUUGGCUGUUGUGUCUGUGACACAGAAACAUAAGCUCCGAGGAUACUGAGGACUGCCGAGCUCCAUCACAUUCAAGAACAGCAGUGGCUAUGACCUCUCUGGCUUUCCGGGAUGCAGAGGGGAUCUGACACAGACCGUGAACACACAUGGAUGGAGUCCGAGGAACUACUGUGUUUGGUUUCCCCUGGAGACUCCCUCUGAGUUCCAGAGGGCUGCCCGGAAACACAUCAUCUUCAGGGCCAGGUCCCUAUUUAUGAAAACCCAACCUGUCUGGCCAAAUCAAGAGUCUCGUAUUUAUUGACAUCAUGCAAAAUUCAAGGCCGACUCAAAUUUCAGUUUCACGUUUUGCCUCACUUAACUAGCUGGGGAGAAGAAUUUCAUGUGUGUGGCAUUUUCCUAUUUCAGAUAACGAGCAGAGGAACUGGGGGGCCAGCAAGAUGGUUCAGUGGGUGUAGCUGCUUGCCCUCGAGCCGGAUGGGCUCAGUUUGAUCCUCAGGCCGGCCUGGUAGAAGGAGAGAGACUAGUCCUGAGAGCUGUCCUCUAACUUUCCACACGCGCACAAUAAAGGAGUUUCCCACCUCCGUGUCCUCUCUGUUCCCAUGGGGCCAUACGCCCCUCUCUCAGCACCUCCUACCUUGAUUGUCUGAGAGUCAGGCACACCUGAUUGCCCCUCCCCCCUCCCGCCAGG